AAUGAACGCUGGCGGCGCGCCUAAUACAUGCAAGUCGAGCGAGAAGACGUAGCAAUACGUUUGUAAAGCGGCGAACGGGUGAGGAAUACAUGGGUAACCUACCCUCGAGUGGGGAAUAACUAGCCGAAAGGUUAGCUAAUACCGCGUACGCUCCUUGGACUUCGGUUCAGGGAGGAAAGCGAUACCGUGGGUAUCGCGCUCUUGGUUGGGCUCAUGUCCUAUCAGCUUGUUGGUGAGGUAACGGCUCACCAAGGCUUCGACGGGUAGCUGGUCUGAGAGGACGAUCAGCCACACUGGCACUGCGACACGGGCCAGACUCC
RNAcentral lists this ribosomal RNA (320 nucleotides) under uncultured bacterium. RNAcentral describes it as "bacterial SSU rRNA". It matches the Rfam family "Bacterial small subunit ribosomal RNA", at positions 29 to 339 of the family's 1533-position model. The record is from RNAcentral.